This 127-nucleotide non-coding RNA is filed under the name Kocuria flava. RNAcentral describes it as "SAM-IV sequence". It matches the Rfam family "SAM (S-adenosyl methionine) riboswitch aptamer". Rfam says of the family: SAM-IV is a mRNA element that regulates gene expression via direct sensing of S-adenosylmethionine (SAM or AdoMet). The record is from Rfam by way of RNAcentral. Lineage: Bacteria; Bacillati; Actinomycetota; Actinomycetes; Micrococcales; Micrococcaceae.
CUUCAAGAGACCCGGUCGCCAAGCUCCGACUUGACCGGGCACCAACCCCAUGUUCACGGGUGGUUCGGAUGAGGAAGCGGCUCGCAACCGCCGCCGCGGCGGCACCCGGUGCGAGCAAGAGCACAGC